AUAUCUUAUAGUAUGCCAUGUUCUGCAACCCAAAUUAAAAGAUGAAUAAUAACUCAGAAACAAUUAAUGCACUGAACAAAGGCAUCAAAACGCAUUCAUUAGGCAACAUUUCAAAAAAUUUUGCUUUUUUUCCCUGUGCCUCAAAAAUACAGACCACAUAUUCUAAACUAAACAAUGGAGACAGAAAUCAUAGAUUCUGUACUAAUUGCAAGUUUCAUUGCUAUUUACCAGAAGGGGAUUUAGGAAGAUUAUCAUCUAGAAAUUUAAUGCCCAUUUGGUUCAGCUUUUGGAGCUUGCAGUUCGUGGUUGAAAACUCAACUGUUGGAUAAAACUUGUUUGGUAAACAAAAAACUAAAGCUAGCAGUUG
RNAcentral lists this unclassified non-coding RNA (367 nucleotides) under Hevea brasiliensis (rubber tree). Lineage: Eukaryota; Viridiplantae; Streptophyta; Magnoliopsida; Malpighiales; Euphorbiaceae. The record is from RNAcentral.